Molecule: long non-coding RNA, 384 nt
Filed under: Polistes fuscatus (common paper wasp)
Lineage: Eukaryota; Metazoa; Arthropoda; Insecta; Hymenoptera; Vespidae
Description: uncharacterized LOC122518911
Source: RNAcentral
CGUGUCCGAGCUUAAACCCUUCUACCCUAUCCACUGCGAGAUGUUGCACUAAGUGAUAACCACCCCACAUGUAUUCAUUGGAUGCUAAAUGGAAGGAAGGAAGGAAGGGUCUUCCAAAAUUGAGAGAGAGAGAGAGAGAGAGAAUGAGAGGGAAGAAAAAUCAUUGAUCUUUCGAUGAAUCAAACUUUUACUCAACCGAGUUUAAUGUUUAAGCCACAUAGGACAGACCCAUUGGCGAUGACAAUAGUUUCCAUAGAAAUUCGUAUGAUACCUUCCUCACGACAAAUAUGUUUGUAUUCCUACCAUAAAAUGACUUUACCUUAACCGAAUAAUACGACGAAUCUUCUAAUAAAUAAUCUCCAGAAUAUAUGGGAUCGAAUAUUA